AUCUACCGUUCCUCAGUUCUCUUAUCCAUUCGUUUCUCUCUGAAAUUCCCCCUUCCGUUUCCCUUCCAGAGAUCGUUUCCCUUCCAAUCUCUGGUUCUUUCCCCUUCCGUUUCCCUUCCAAUCUCACGUGUGGGGAUGAUGCAGGCAUCUCCAGCAAGAACGGCAGCAGCAUGGGGGCGAAUGGGCGAUGCGCGAUGAGCUCGUGCCCUCGUCUCCCUCGUCUAGAUGUGUAGUAGCUGGGAAAUGCUCCUCACCGAGAAGGAGGCUGGUCUUGUCGAGAAGUCGAAGGCGGUGCUGACUGAGGAGCAAGAUAGCAAUGGCGCUAUGGCCUGGUGAUAUUGUUUCUUCAUGUUUCCCUUUAAUUUUAGCCCGCCUUAUUUUUUCAUUUGCCGCCUCUUUUUUAUCAUCAGUUAUCUUCCAAUUUUUGUUUUUUUCAUUUGCCGCCUCUUUUUUUGUUUUGCUCCCGCUUUUUAUUUGGAGUGAACAAGGAGCCAAUAUAAUUCCUCGCACAUCCGGCGCCCCUCCAUCUCUUCCCCAACCCCCGCCUCCAACCUCGUGCGCUCUCUUCGGCUUCUUCUCCAUGUGCAGCGUGCAGGAGGGAUUUUGGGGAAGUCGUGGAGGCAGGACGCCGAGGCGAGGCGAGGCGAUGGCGAUCCCCUCAACCCACAUCCGCGUGAUCCAGACUUCCAGACAACCCACAGUGAUUCCCACCUCCGCUUAGAUGUGAUAGUUUUUUAUUAAACUAAUGAGUCUGCUUUCGUAGUUCAGAUCAGAUCGUCCUUAGUUAGGGGGUGUUUGUUUCUUUAUCCUUAAAUUCAUGUCACAUCCAAUGUUUAGAUACUAGGAAUAUUAAACAUAGACUAAUUACAAAACUAAUUGCACAGAUAGAGACUAAUUUGCGAGACGAAUCUUUAACUCUAAUUAGUGCAUGAUUUGACAAUAUGAUGCUACAGUAAAUAUGUGCUAAUGAUGGAUUAAUUAGGCUUAAUAGAUUCGUCUCGUGAAUUAGCCUCCUGUAAUUAGUUUUAGAAUUAACUCAUAUUUAGUCCUCCUAAUUGACCUCCGAAUAUUCGAUGUGAUAUGAAUUUUAGUCCGGACUAAAGAUCCAAACACCAUCUUAUGUUCAUUAGUUUGUUAUUCCAGAAUUCAGUGCGAGGGUGAUAUUGUUUUUCCACCGUCGUACGUGAGGGGCUUUAAACAAGCCACAUUGUUUCCUUAAAAUUAUUUUUCCUUGCCAGCAUUUUAUUUAUAUAGUUUAUUCCCCCCUUGAUCCUCUGCUUGGAACAGAGGCAAGAAGAAUAAAUAACUUUCUGGGGGGCAAAAGGACGCUACAUAGCUACAACACAUCUUUUUUUAAAAAGAACUAUUGCUAAGUGCUAAGCCUAGAGUCAUGUGCAGCUAUCCCAACGACAGGUUUGUCAGGUCAUUGCAAUAUGUACACUGUGCAGAUUCAGUUUAAUUUGCACAUGCUCUGUGGAUUUGAAGAUGUGUCAUAAUAUGAAAAAUAAUUCUACUGCAA
Setaria italica (foxtail millet) is the source of this 1519-nucleotide long non-coding RNA. RefSeq lists it as uncharacterized. The record is from RefSeq and is a predicted model, not a curated record. NCBI's taxonomy places the organism in Eukaryota, Viridiplantae, Streptophyta, Magnoliopsida, Poales, Poaceae. The transcript has 2 exons.